GCCUGGCUAGCUCAGUUGGUAGAGCAUGAGACUCUUAAUCUCAGGGACAUGGGUUCAAGCCCCACGUUGGGUG
Plectropomus leopardus (leopard coralgrouper) is the source of this 73-nucleotide non-coding RNA. The record is from the annotation of a RefSeq genome assembly. NCBI's taxonomy places the organism in Eukaryota, Metazoa, Chordata, Actinopteri, Perciformes, Serranidae.